RNAcentral lists this ribosomal RNA (254 nucleotides) under uncultured bacterium. RNAcentral describes it as "partial 16S ribosomal RNA". It matches the Rfam family "Bacterial small subunit ribosomal RNA", at positions 524 to 776 of the family's 1533-position model. The record is from RNAcentral.
UACGGAAGGGGGCUAGCGUUGUUCGGAAUCACUGGGCGUAAAGGGCGCGUAGGCGGCUUGAUAAGUCGGGGGUGAAAGCCUGUGGCUCAACCACAGAAUUGCCUUCGAUACUGUCGAGCUUGAGACCGGAAGAGGUAAGUGGAACUGCGAGUGUAGAGGUGAAAUUCGUAGAUAUUCGGCGGAACACCAGUGGCGAAGGCGACUCACUGGCCCGAUACUGACGCUGAGGCGCGAAAGCUAGGGGAGCAAACGGG